UUGGAAAAAAACGUGUCUCAUUUCGGGAAGUUUGUGUAUCUACCUCCGAGGAACCGAGUUACCGUUACCACAGAGCUGCUUCCUAAACCGGUAUUCAUCGUAAUACCCAUUUACAUACCUAAAAAAAUCAACAUUAUUCGAUUAUGCCAGCACCGGAAAACCAGGUGACCACUGGUUAUUGGCUUAGGAUGUGAGAUUCCAUGGUGCAAUUCGUUCCUAAAAAUAAAAGGCAAAGGAUAAAAAAAAGCUCAACGCAAUUACAUAUUACUGUAUUCCCUUGGGACAUUGGCGUAAAAUGACCCUAUCGUGCGGCAAUCGAGAGGAAUGUGCGGUGAUGCUUCCUUCCGGAAGGAAAGUUUUCGCAAGGCAAAGAUUACCCGGUUGUGCUGUCACCGUGGACUGAACUGUACGAGGGAAUUUCCGCAAAGAAAGCGGAAUCGGAACUGGAAUACAAAAGCUAAUAAAGGUCGCUUGCUGUGCACACUAUCUCAUGGAAUUGAUUUAGUAGGCGCAACUCGGAUUAGCCAACAAUCGGAUACCGAGCAUGGGAAACCUGUAUGGGGUCCGUCACAGGUGGUGCUGCUGUUCUAGAUGUCCGUACGGAUUGCCGGAAACAACGGAAAAUUUAUAGUUGCUGGUUUAAUGCGAGAUCCACCCUUGGGCAAAAACGGACCUGCUGGAGCGAGUUUCAGGCAAUACGUCCAAAACAUCAACUCUCUUCCCUGACCCACAAGGCUGUUUUAUCAGUAUCUGGUGGUACAAUCUCGGGUGGCAAUAAUGUUACGAAUCUCGUAGCAGCGUUUGCCGGAUAGCUGCAAAUUAACAUCUUCCCAGCGGGCAGGAUUCUACACAGGAUACUUCGGAACCAGAACUGCAGUUACUUCCCAUCUUCGCCCGACCAUGAAGCUGAUCCAGGAAUCCACCGGUGUCGCAGAGCCCGAGUGAUUUAAAAGCAUGGCUAUACAGCUUUUUAAUAAUUUUGAUUUUAAAUAAAAUGAUGUUUUUAUUUCCAACCUUCCAGCAUUGAAAACAAACUUCAAAAAUAAAGAUUGCUGACGUCUAA
Long non-coding RNA from Armigeres subalbatus, 1063 nucleotides. RefSeq lists it as uncharacterized. The record is from RefSeq and is a predicted model, not a curated record. Lineage: Eukaryota; Metazoa; Arthropoda; Insecta; Diptera; Culicidae. The transcript is spliced from 3 exons.